AGGACGUGCUAAUCUGCGAAAAGCUUGGAUGAGUUGAUAAGAAGCGUUUAAUCCAAGAUAUCCGAAUGGGGAAACCCAGUAGAUGAAGAAUCUACUAUCACUUGUUGAAUACAUAGGCAAGUGAAGCAAACCGGGAGAACUGAAACAUCUAAGUACCCCGAGGAAAAGAAAUCAACCGAGAUUUUGUAAGUAGCGGCGAGCG
Molecule: ribosomal RNA, 202 nt
Filed under: Glaesserella parasuis
Lineage: Bacteria; Pseudomonadati; Pseudomonadota; Gammaproteobacteria; Pasteurellales; Pasteurellaceae
Description: partial 23S ribosomal RNA
Rfam family: Bacterial large subunit ribosomal RNA
Source: RNAcentral